AGAUAUCAUUAAGCGGAGGAAAAGAACCCAACAGGGAUUGCCCCAGUAACGGCGAGUGAAGCGGCAACAGCUCAAAUUUGAAAUCUGGCCCCCCGGCCCGAGUUGUAAUUUGGAGAGGAUGCUUCUGGCGCGGCGCCGUCCGAGUUCCUUGGAACAGGACGCCACAGAGGGUGAGAGCCCCGUACGGACGGACGCCUAGCCUCUACGAAGCUCCUUCGACGAGUCGAGUAGUUUGGGAAUGCUGCUCAAAAUGGGAGGUAAAUUUCUUCUAAAGCUAAAUACCGGCCAGAGACCGAUAGCGCACAAGUAGAGUGAUCGAAAGAUGAAAAGCACUUUGAAAAGAGGGUUAAAAAGUACGUGAAAUUGUUGAAAGGGAAGCGCCUGUGACCAGACUUGCGCCUCGCGGACCACCCGGCGUUCUCGCCGGUGCACUCUGCGUGGCGCAGGCCAGCAUCGGUUCUCCCAGGGGGACAAAGGCCGCGGGAACGUAGCUCCUUCGGGAGUGUUAUAGCCCGCGGCGGCAUGCCCCUGGGGGGACCGAGGACCGCGCUUCGGCAAGGAUGCUGGCGUAAUGGUCACCAGCGACCCGUCUUGAAACACGGACCAAGGAGUCAAGCAUUGGGGCGAGUGUAUGGGUGCCAAACCCGCACGCGAAAUGAAAGUAAACGCAGGUGAGAGCUUCGGCGCAUCAUCGACCGAUCCUGAUGUCUUCGGAUGGAUUUGAGUAAGAGCCUUACCGCUUGGACCCGAAAGAUGGUGAACUAUGCCUGAAUAGGGUGAAGCCAGAGGAAACUCUGGUGGAGGCUCGCAGCGGUUCUGACGUGCAAAUCGAUCGUCAAAUUUGGGCAUGGGGGCGAAAGACUAAUCGAACCAUCUAGUAGCUGGGUU
This 888-nucleotide ribosomal RNA is filed under the name Sporothrix globosa. RNAcentral describes it as "LSU rRNA". It matches the Rfam family "Eukaryotic large subunit ribosomal RNA", at positions 38 to 957 of the family's 3401-position model. Lineage: Eukaryota; Fungi; Ascomycota; Sordariomycetes; Ophiostomatales; Ophiostomataceae. The record is from RNAcentral.